UAAAAUAAUAGAUGUGCUCGUA
RNAcentral lists this non-coding RNA (22 nucleotides) under Arabidopsis thaliana (thale cress). The record is from RNAcentral. Lineage: Eukaryota; Viridiplantae; Streptophyta; Magnoliopsida; Brassicales; Brassicaceae.